GGGCUGCUAGCUUAGCCAGGAUGGAGCACCCGACUGAUAAUCGGGAGGUCGAGGGUUCAAAUCCCUUGCGGCCCA
This 75-nucleotide transfer RNA is filed under the name Nanobdellati archaeon. Its description in RNAcentral is "tRNA-Ile". It matches the Rfam family "tRNA". From Rfam's summary of the family: Transfer RNA (tRNA) molecules are approximately 80 nucleotides in length. Their secondary structure includes four short double-helical elements and three loops (D, anti-codon, and T loops). Further hydrogen bonds mediate the characteristic L-shaped molecular structure. tRNAs have two regions of fundamental functional importance: the anti-codon, which is responsible for specific mRNA codon recognition, and the 3' end, to which the tRNAs corresponding amino acid is attached (by aminoacyl-tRNA synthetases). tRNAs cope with the degeneracy of the genetic code in two manners: having more than one tRNA (with a specific anti-codon) for a particular amino acid; and 'wobble' base-pairing, i.e. permitting non-standard base-pairing at the 3rd anti-codon position. Lineage: Archaea; Nanobdellati. The record is from RNAcentral.